UUCUAAGAAUCGAUGGGACACAUUUAC
Molecule: non-coding RNA, 27 nt
Filed under: Bombyx mori (domestic silkworm)
Lineage: Eukaryota; Metazoa; Arthropoda; Insecta; Lepidoptera; Bombycidae
Source: RNAcentral